Molecule: ribosomal RNA, 253 nt
Filed under: uncultured bacterium
Lineage: Bacteria
Description: partial 16S ribosomal RNA
Rfam family: Bacterial small subunit ribosomal RNA
Source: RNAcentral
UACGGAGGGAGCUAGCGUUGUUCGGAAUUACUGGGCGUAAAGCGCGCGUAGGCGGCUUUGUAAGUUAGAGGUGAAAGCCCGGAGCUCAACUCCGGAACUGCCUUUAAAACUGCAUCGCUUGAAUCCAGGAGAGGUGAGUGGAAUUCCGAGUGUAGAGGUGAAAUUCGUAGAUAUUAGGAAGAACACCGGUGGCGAAGGCGGCCCACUGGUCCGGUACUGACGCUGAGGUGCGAAAGCGUGGGGAGCAAACAGG